Long non-coding RNA from Phyllostomus hastatus (greater spear-nosed bat), 386 nucleotides. RefSeq lists it as uncharacterized. NCBI's taxonomy places the organism in Eukaryota, Metazoa, Chordata, Mammalia, Chiroptera, Phyllostomidae. The transcript is spliced from 3 exons. The record is from RefSeq and is a predicted model, not a curated record.
GUGAAGGCCGUGCGUGACUUUCGCCGUCUGCGGCCAGCCGGGCCGGGGCCCAGAGCACCCGGGGCCGCUCGGCCUGCGGGGGGAUAGGGCGGCCGUCAGUCAGUCUCCAGCCUGCAGAAAUCGGGCUUCGGCGGCGAAAGGACCCAAGGGUCCCUCAACUCUGAACAGCCCUGUGCUGCCCCUCAGCGCUGGCGGCCUCCAGGAGCAGCUGCCGAGCCUGGAACUAACGGACGGGGAGGAGCUGGAGAGGGCUGCAGGGCGCGCCCGUCCAGUCCACGGAAAGCUUUACUAGUCAGCUUCUCCAGCGCGCACAGCGGCGACAUAGGAGCUGCGCUCAACUCUGGAAGCGGCGACGCCGACUGUCCUCGGGGGACCCAGCGCGGGCC